AUUGAACGCUGGCGGAAUGCUUUACACAUGCAAGUCGAACGGCAGCACGGACUUCGGUCUGGUGGCGAGUGGCGAACGGGUGAGUAAUGUAUCGGAACGUGCCCAGUCGUGGGGGAUAACGUAGUGAAAAUUACGCUAAUACCGCAUACGAUCUAUGGAUGAAAGCGGGGGAUCGCAAGACCUCGCGCGAUUGGAGCGGCCGAUAUCAGAUUAGGUAGUUGGUGGGGUAAAGGCCCACCAAGCCAACGAUCUGUAGCUGGUCUGAGAGGACGAGCAGCCACGCUGGAACUGAGACACGGUCCAGACUACUACGGGAGGCAGCAGUGGGGAAUUUUGGACAAUGGGCGAAAGCCUGAUCCAGCCAUUCCGCGUGCAGGAUGAAGGCCCUCGGGUUGUAAACUGCUUUUGUACAGAACGAAAAGGUUUCUACUAAUACUAGGAGCUCAUGACGGUACUGUAAGAAUAAGCACCGGCUAACUACGUGCCAGCCGCCGCCGUAA
This 500-nucleotide ribosomal RNA is filed under the name uncultured bacterium. RNAcentral's name for it is "partial 16S ribosomal RNA". It matches the Rfam family "Bacterial small subunit ribosomal RNA", at positions 30 to 523 of the family's 1533-position model. The record is from RNAcentral.